Molecule: ribosomal RNA, 301 nt
Filed under: uncultured bacterium
Lineage: Bacteria
Description: partial 16S ribosomal RNA
Rfam family: Bacterial small subunit ribosomal RNA
Source: RNAcentral
CAGUCGCCGCGGGAAUACGUAGGGUCCGAGCGUUGUCCGGAAUUACUGGGCGUAAAGAGCUCGUAGGUGGUUUGUCGCGUUGUUCGUGAAAACUCACAACUCAAUUGUGGGCGUGCGGGCGAUACGGGCAGACUGGAGUACUGCAGGGGAGACUGGAAUUCCUGGUGUAGCGGUGGAAUGCGCAGAUAUCAGGAGGAACACCGGUGGCGAAGGCGGGUCUCUGGGCAGUAACUGACGCUGAGGAGCGAAAGCGUGGGGAGCGAACAGGAUUAGAUACCCCUGUAGUCCCUGUCUCUUAUAC